GGUCUGUAUCAAAAGACAGAAUCUUGAUGACUAAGACAUUUUCUUUGGACCCAGGAGAUGAACAUAUGCCUGAGAAGAAGAACUAGUGUGGAACUGUCAGCCAGGUUUUUGAUGAGUGCUCAGACUGCUUUUUGAUCCGGCACCACAUUUACUAUAGUGGACAGAUGCUCUAGUCUCUGAUGAGGAGUUGCUAGCUGUUAGGAAAAACCUGGAAUGGGCUCCACUGCAUGAGGUUUGAAGUCUCCAGAGCAGCAAAGAGAGUGGGGAGUAGAACUCAUCAUCUUUAGGUCACUCAGCAUCGA
This 302-nucleotide long non-coding RNA is filed under the name Mus musculus (house mouse). Its description in RNAcentral is "predicted gene, 57864". Lineage: Eukaryota; Metazoa; Chordata; Mammalia; Rodentia; Muridae. The record is from RNAcentral.